This is a long non-coding RNA of Orussus abietinus, 768 nucleotides long. RefSeq lists it as uncharacterized. The record is from RefSeq and is a predicted model, not a curated record. The transcript is spliced from 3 exons. Lineage: Eukaryota; Metazoa; Arthropoda; Insecta; Hymenoptera; Orussidae.
UCUUCAGGGACGAGAGUCGAGAUGGCCACGAUCGCACCUAGGGAACCCGCCAGCGAUUCCCCAAAUUCCGCCUGGGAGUCGUUUUCACCGCCAAAACGCUACGCCAAACGCAGGCACGCCUAAUCGUUCACCAGCCGACCCUGAUGGACACCCUGAAGACCCUCCUCCGCAACUUAUACUCCUCGCGAAAUGCGACUUUGUGGAUACUUAAGGAAGCACGUGGCUCUUCAGGUUCUCUGGCAAAGUGUACGCACGGAUCCCGCGAUGAGCACCAUGAAGACUCUCUUCUUUUCACCCCUCGGCAUGAAACGAGUCUUUAUGGAGUUUUACACAUCUUGGCAUUCUACUUCGAGGACUCUUCAGGUUCUUCAUCAAGUCAGUGAAAAGCAGAAAUGGGGAUAAAGAUAAAGAUAAGGACCAGGAGAUCUGGCGACCGGGAGCAUCCGUCACUCGGUCUUCUGGCUGCAUCCAAAAUCUAAUAAGAGACCCUCCCCCAAGGCCUUUGGCCUUUCAUCGAGUGCACCGCCUGCAGCAAUAUACAUCUACAAGUCUCUACCUACUUCUACGUACAUCCAAUGGAUCCACCGAAAUACUUGCCCACCGUCGACGCUGCCAAUCCAUCCUACAAAUUAACGACCUAACCUAUACGCGAUCUCGUAACAAAAAGAGCGCCAUGCAUAUCUACAUGGAAAUAUCUUUUGCGUCGAACUAAGUGGUUUUGGAACACUCCAAAAAAUCUCUAAUGAUUAAAAUCGAUAGUCAUCUAUA